UGUAGUAAAUAUUACAAAUUCAUUAUCAUAAAAACCUAAAAUAUCUGAUAUGGUCUUACCUUGAACUUCCUAAAGAUGCACACUAUACCAAAGUAAAACUUCUGGACUUCUGAAACCGUCCUUUUGACUGAGACGGAAGUAGACUAAAGAGUUAUAUUGAAAUAUUCAAAUUAACAGAUCUUGAGAUUGGGCCAAACUCUUGAUUAUUUUAAAACUUUUGUUAAUGUUGUUUAUUGACUUGUCAAAUGUUUUCCUAUAUAUAUAUAUAUAUACACUUUUAUUGAUAAAUCCAUUGUUAUUUUCAUUGGAAUUUUACCCUCAUGUCAGAGUUUGGUUGAAGUUUUCAUGGCGUGACCCAUAUAUAUAUAUAAAUCUAUAAUAUAUAUAAACGACUCAAGUAUUUCAAUAUGACCUAUUUUCUCUCAGUUUAGUCAUUUUAAUGGACAUAACUUUGUUUUCUAAAGUGCUGGAGACAAGAACAAUGACCGUGGAGGAAACAGAAACAAAAAGAAAAUCCAGUUAUAGAAAUGGAACCAAUUCACACCAAAAAAGUUCAAUUCAACCUUUUUUACUCAUCGGUAUCAAACAGUCCAUGUACUGAGCUUCUAUAAUUUAAGUAAAGCUUAAAACCCACAAUGUUUUUUUUUUGUCUAUUCUUUGAUACUGACCUCACUAGAAAACAUAUUCUUUUAAAAAAAUAUUCUUUAUUACUCCAAAUGAAACUCACAGUGUUGUUCUCCAUUAACGUGAUUGGAAACCUUAAAGUGUGCCGAUAUUUCCAAACACUUAAAGUGCCCCUGCACUCAGAAACCUGGUUUUUAAAUGGUUAGCUCGUUUGAAAAGUCUAGUUAAGACUAUAUAGAUUGGUGUUUGGGUUAGAUUUGUUAGGAUGAAUGGCAUGUAUACCAGUCCUCCGAACGGUGCUCACUGAACUGUCCGAUGUUAUUAAACUUAAUCGGCUGUUGUAUCAUGCUAAUAAGUUCCGCUGUGGUAAAUUGUUAAAUUAAACAGUCUGAGAAUGAAAUACAAGGCAAGAGGAACAUUUACUUGGAUAUCUACUCAGCAAAAUUUAUUAUCCUGUUUAGGCAAUGUGAAAGACAUCCUUUUCCCAGUGAAAUGAAAUGAUAUAAUAAAAUAUAUUAAACCUACUAAUCUAAAUAUAUUCAUCUCUGCUAUCAUAGCAGGAUAAUUAAACCUUUCUCUUUUUUUUUUUUUUUACCUUUCCAAAGCAUGCAUUAAAACAAUCAGCUGUUUGAAAAUAAAAAAUAGUAUUUGAUUUCUGAGUACGUCUACCUCUCUACCAUCGACAUUCUUACAUCAGUGCUCACAGUAAAAGGCUUGACUUGAUAAUAUUGCACCUGAACAAUUCUCCAACAAGUAACUCAAGCAAACCAGACCAACGUACAGUCAUUUAAAAGCCUUACUACAGUCAUACGAUUUAGAUUCGUUCAGAGAAGAUAAGAGAAGCCCAGAAUAGCCCCAUCUCUGGCAAGAAAGACAGCUGAGGGUCUGAUCAGGUGUAGCGUGUUGCGAUUAUGGAGCAAUACAGUUAGCGAGGUACUGAGAGUAGUCCUGGUUGGCACAAGUGUUCAUGAGAGUGUCUUUCCUGCAACAGGGAAAAAAAAUAAAUAAUGCCCGGUCAGUGUCUCAUCAUCG
This is a long non-coding RNA of Ictalurus punctatus (channel catfish), 1656 nucleotides long. Lineage: Eukaryota; Metazoa; Chordata; Actinopteri; Siluriformes; Ictaluridae. The record is from Ensembl.